GUGGGGAAUUUUGGACAAUGGGCGCAAGCCUGAUCCAGCAAUGCCGCGUGCAGGAAGAAGGCCUUCGGGUUGUAAACUGCUUUUGUACGGAACGAAACGGUCCUGGUUAAUACCUGGGGCUAAUGACGGUACCGUAAGAAUAAGCACCGGCUAACUACGUGCCAGCAGCCGGGGUAAUACGUAGGGUGCGAGCGUUAAUCGGAAUUACUGGGCGUAAAGCGUGCGCAGGCGGUGCUGUAAGACAGGCGUGAAAUCCCCGGGCUCAACCUGGGAAUUGCGAUUGUGACUGCAGUGCUGGAGUACGGCAGAGGGGGAUGGAAUUCCGCGUGUAGCAGUGAAAUGCGUAGAUAUGCGGAGGAACACCGAUGGCGAAGGCAGUCCCCUGGGCCUGUACUGACGCUCAUGCACGAAAGCGUGGGGAGCAAACAGGAUUAGAUACCCUUGUAGUCC
This 450-nucleotide ribosomal RNA is filed under the name uncultured bacterium. RNAcentral describes it as "partial 16S ribosomal RNA". It matches the Rfam family "Bacterial small subunit ribosomal RNA", at positions 354 to 796 of the family's 1533-position model. The record is from RNAcentral.